GCUUGUCUCAAAGAUUAAGCCAUGCAUGUCUAAGUAUAAACGACUUUAUACUGUGAAACUGCGAAUGGCUCAUUAUAUCAGUUAUAGUUUAUUUGAUGGUCCUUGCUACUUGGAUAACCGUAGUAAUUCUAGAGCUAAUACAUGCAUCAAACCCCGACUUCUGGAAGGGGUGUAUUUAUUAGAUGGAAACCAAUGCAGGGCAACCUGGAAUAUGGUGAUUCAUAAUAACUGUGCGGAUCGCGUUUUACGCGAUAAAUCGAUUGAGUUUCUGCCCUAUCAGCUUUGGAUGGUAGGAUAUGGGCCUACCAUGGCAUUAACGGGUAACGGGGAAUUAGGGUUUGAUUCCGGAGAGGGAGCCUUAGAAACGGCUACCACAUCCAAGGAAGGCAGCAGG
This 394-nucleotide ribosomal RNA is filed under the name Ochromonas tuberculata. Its description in RNAcentral is "partial small subunit ribosomal RNA". It matches the Rfam family "Eukaryotic small subunit ribosomal RNA", at positions 30 to 432 of the family's 1831-position model. Lineage: Eukaryota; Chrysophyceae; Chromulinales; Chromulinaceae. The record is from RNAcentral.